AUCGCGUCCCGGCCCGCCAGGUCCGGGUGGGUGACCAGCAGUCGCUCGACGUCGGCCAGCAGACGGGCCCGUUCGGGCUCCGGCAGCGCGAUG
RNAcentral lists this transfer RNA (93 nucleotides) under Kitasatospora xanthocidica. RNAcentral describes it as "tRNA-Ala". The record is from RNAcentral. Lineage: Bacteria; Bacillati; Actinomycetota; Actinomycetes; Kitasatosporales; Streptomycetaceae.